UAAUACGGAGGGUGCGAGCGUUGUCCGGAAUCACUGGGCGUAAAGGGCGCGUAGGCGGCGCGGUAAGCGGGCGGUGAAAGCCCGGGGCUCAACCCCGGGUCGGCCGUGCGGACUGCCGUGCUGGAGCACUGUAGAGGCGGGUGGAAUUCCGGGUGUAGCGGUGGAAUGCGUAGAGAUCCGGAAGAACACCGGUGGCGAAGGCGGCCCGCUGGGCAGUGGCUGACGCUGAGGCGCGACAGCGUGGGGAGCAAACAGGAUUAGAUACCCUGGUAGUCCACGCCGUAAACGAUGGGCACUAGGUGCCUGGGGGAGCGACCCCCCGGGUGCCGGCGCUAACGCAUUAAGUGCCCCGCCUGGGGAGUACGGCCGCAAGGCUG
RNAcentral lists this ribosomal RNA (377 nucleotides) under uncultured bacterium. RNAcentral's name for it is "bacterial SSU rRNA". It matches the Rfam family "Bacterial small subunit ribosomal RNA", at positions 521 to 896 of the family's 1533-position model. The record is from RNAcentral.